AUCCGCCGACGUUCCUCCGAUGACUCGGCGGGGAGCUUUCCCCGGGAAACCAAAGCUUUUGGGUUCCGGGGGAAGUAUGGUUGCAAAGCUGAAACUUAAAGGAAUUGACGGAAGGGCACUACCAGGAGUGGAGCCUGCGGUUUAAUUUGACUCAACACGGGAAAUCUCACCAGGCCCGGACAUUUGAAGGAUUGACAGAUUGAUAGCUCUUUCUUGAAAAAGUGGGUAGUGGUGCAUGGCCGUUUUUAGUUGGUGGACUGAUUUGUCUGCUUAAUUGCGUUAACGAACGAGACUCUGACCUAUUAACUAGGCGAUACCGGUAUAUACAUAGCUACCGGCGAGAUUUAUUCUUCUUAAGGGGACGGGCGGCUCCUAGCCGCACGAGAUUGAGCAAAAACAGGUCAGUGAUGCCCUUAGAUGUUCUGGGCCGCACGCGCGCUACACUGAAGGAAUCAGCGUGUGCUCCCCUGUCCGAAAGGUCCGGGUAACCCGCUGAACCUCCUUCGUGCUAGGGAUUGGGGCUUGAAAUUGUUCCCCAUGAACGAGGAAUUCCCAGUAAGCGCGAGUCAUAAGCUCGCGUUGAUUAAGUCCCUGCCCUUUGUACACACCGCCCGUCGCUACUACUGAUUGAAUUAUUUAAUAAGGUCUUCGGACCGGCGAUAAGCGGCACCGACGUCUCGUUCGGUAUCGAUUUCGCUGGAAAGAUGUCCAAACUUGAUUAUUUAGAGGAAGUAAAAGUCG
Molecule: ribosomal RNA, 741 nt
Filed under: Macropes exilis
Lineage: Eukaryota; Metazoa; Arthropoda; Insecta; Hemiptera; Blissidae
Description: bacterial SSU rRNA
Rfam family: Eukaryotic small subunit ribosomal RNA
Source: RNAcentral